AAGGAAUUUUGCGCAAUGGACGAAAGUCUGACGCAGCAACGCCGCGUGAUCGAUGACGCUUCUAGGAGUGUAAAGAUCUGUCGUGAGGGAAGAAAAACUUGGAUGUAAAUAAUGUUCAAAUUUGACGGUACCUUACAAGAAAGCACCGGCUAACUUCGUGCCAGCAGCCGCGGUAAUACGAGGGGUGCUAGCGUUGUCCGGAAUUACUGGGCGUAAAGGGUCCGUAGGCGUUUUGCCAAGUUGAUCGUUAAAUCCACCGGCUCAACCGGUGACCUGCGAUCAAAACUGGUAGAAUAGAAUAUGUGAGAGGAAUGUGGAAUUCCUGGUGUAGCGGUGACAUGCGUAGAUAUCAGGAGGAACACCAAUGGCGAAGGCAACAUUCUGGCACAAUAUUGACGCUGAGGGACGAAAGCGUGGGUAGCGAACAGG
Molecule: ribosomal RNA, 429 nt
Filed under: uncultured bacterium
Lineage: Bacteria
Description: bacterial SSU rRNA
Rfam family: Bacterial small subunit ribosomal RNA
Source: RNAcentral